GUGCGUUCGCGGCGCCGUAAAGGCUGCGCUCUAAUAUUGCCAAAGAUGUUUCAUUGCGAAAGCACUUCUACGGACACUCCAGCCGCAUUUCUGGUGUCGCCGUCGCCGUAAGGUUCUGUAUGAGUGAAAGCGUGUGAAGUGUUUGCCUUCCACCCGCCACUUUCUGCUGUCCUCUCCUUCUCGACAGCGCGUGUCGUGCACGUCCAAAAAAUCGGGACGGCUACAUAACGCACGUCUCUCUGCAAGGGCCUUUGAUGCGGCGCUUAGUGGCGCUCCAAGCUGCGACACCGGCAUACUUUGCGUGGCGGCUUUUAAUGGCGUUCCGGGCAAUAAAUGCGUGGCGACACUCGGUCCGAGCCCAAGACACCCACCGCCGACGCUCAGUGACCGCUGCUGCUGCGCACGAGGAUCCCGGGUUCGAUUACACGUUAAGCCUCUGCAAGCACAGCUGGUCGAUGUCGCCAACCUGGGCGAUCGAUAUUCGACAAGAAAGAAUUCCCAUAGAAGUUCCCGACCACCAUGCUGACA
Long non-coding RNA from Dermacentor albipictus, 528 nucleotides. RefSeq lists it as uncharacterized. The record is from RefSeq and is a predicted model, not a curated record. NCBI's taxonomy places the organism in Eukaryota, Metazoa, Arthropoda, Arachnida, Ixodida, Ixodidae.